RNAcentral lists this transfer RNA (71 nucleotides) under Rhyacotriton variegatus (southern torrent salamander). Its description in RNAcentral is "tRNA-Ser". It matches the Rfam family "tRNA". Rfam says of the family: Transfer RNA (tRNA) molecules are approximately 80 nucleotides in length. Their secondary structure includes four short double-helical elements and three loops (D, anti-codon, and T loops). The record is from RNAcentral. Lineage: Eukaryota; Metazoa; Chordata; Amphibia; Caudata; Rhyacotritonidae.
AAGAGAGUAGUAUAUUGGUUAUACAGCUGACUUGAAAUUAGUUUAAGGGGGUUCAAUUCCCACCUCUCUAG